Molecule: long non-coding RNA, 1267 nt
Organism: Sardina pilchardus (European sardine)
Lineage: Eukaryota; Metazoa; Chordata; Actinopteri; Clupeiformes; Clupeidae
Exons: 8
Source: RefSeq, a predicted model, not a curated record
CACAGCCAAAACGCGGAAGCAACGUGGAUUUUACGUGCCUACGUUUAUGUCAAACACAUCGUGAUUGGCUCAUGAAGGAGCAGAUACGUGAAACACGCUGCACAUAGCCAUAUGGAGAAAGUAGGUGAGUGUUGAUCAUUUGUUUGGUACCUAUUCCCCCAAGAGGGGUGCCAGUGUCCUGAUGCUGACCAGUGCCACCGGUUCCGCCACUUGGUUCCUGCUGGAGCCUUAGCACCAACUGGAUGAGGGGACUCCUCUCUGUGUUGAAUUCCCGGCUGUCUAAGGCUUUGAAGUGGAGAGUGGUGUCAAACUACAAGACCGCCAGCAUGUAAACAAGGCCUUGUUUGUCCUUGUUUGGCUACUCACCACUCUUCUAAUUCCUGAAGAGGCUGAAGCAUGCUGGCCUUGACACCUCAGUCCUUGCUUCCAUUAACAGCUGUGUCAUGGUCUACUGCAACGGGUGGAUAAGGAGGGCAAAUGACAGGCAGUGUGCUGUGAGGACUGCUGCCCUGAUUCAUACGGAAGAACCAAGCCCGCAAGCCCAUGGCAUCUUGAGGCCUUUUGGACAGAGGAGAGGACGACCGAGCUGGUUAACCUCUACACAAAUAGAUGCACGUCAAGUGAUGCUUUGGGGUGUGAGACCGCCGGUAUACCCACCUACAGUAUAUUGAUCCUGACAUCAGUGCCAAAUAUUUCUUGAUAAUAAUAAUAAUAAUAAUACCUCAGUUUUUUAUAGCGCUUUUCUGGGUACCCAAAGACGCUUGAUGGCAAUUGGUCGAAAAAAGCACGGGUGUAUCAUGGCCCAAAUAUGCUGAGGAAUGCAGGCUGCCUUGGUGGGCUUAGGAGUUGCCUUUCACUUCAGUCAGUGACGGAAAAGGUCCAGGACGUAAGGCUUUUACAGCUGAAAAGCUGAGACAGCUUGUGCAGUCCUACAAUGCACAUGUCAAUGAUCAGCUGUUUGUUGAGGCAGCGGCAGCAGAUGCAGCACCAACACCACCAGCAGCAGCAGCAGUGGCAGGAGCAGCACCACCAGCACCACCAGCACUAUAAAUGCCAGCAGCGGCAGAUUAUAAAGAAGGAUAACAAUUAAUACAUGAAAUUAGAGUGGGAAGUUGUGCUUUUAUGUUUCAUGUUUAUGGUUUUAUAUAUAUAUGCACCUUACUUGAGCGUCACUACAAAUUCAUUAUACUGCAAUGCAAUUACAAUAAAGGCAUUAAUUUGUCAUUUCAGUUUGUAUUACUACAUUCAUUUAGCCUGGGUGCCAGCC